CAGCCGCCGCGGGAAAACGUAGGGUGCAAGCGUUAAUCGGAAUUACUGGGCGUAAAGCGUGCGCAGGCGGUUAUAUAAGACAGAUGUGAAAUCCCCGGGCUCAACCUGGGAACUGCAUUUGUGACUGUAUAGCUAGAGUACGGCAGAGGGGGAUGGAAUUCCGCGUGUAGCAGUGAAAUGCGUAGAUAUGCGGAGGAACACCGAUGGCGAAGGCAAUCCCCUGGGCCUGUACUGACGCUCAUGCACGAAAGCGUGGGGAGCAAACAGGAUUAGAGACCCCUGUAGUCCCUGUCUCUUAUAC
This 301-nucleotide ribosomal RNA is filed under the name uncultured bacterium. RNAcentral describes it as "partial 16S ribosomal RNA". It matches the Rfam family "Bacterial small subunit ribosomal RNA", at positions 509 to 807 of the family's 1533-position model. The record is from RNAcentral.